RNAcentral lists this ribosomal RNA (468 nucleotides) under uncultured bacterium. RNAcentral's name for it is "partial 16S ribosomal RNA". It matches the Rfam family "Bacterial small subunit ribosomal RNA", at positions 28 to 507 of the family's 1533-position model. The record is from RNAcentral.
GACGAACGCUGGCGGCGUGCUUAACACAUGCAAGUCGAACGGAAAGGCCCUGCUUUUGUGGGGUGCUCGAGUGGCGAACGGGUGAGUAACACGUGAGUAACCUGCCCUUGACUUUGGGAUAACUUCAGGAAACUGGGGCUAAUACCGGAUAGGAGCUCCUGCUGCAUGGUGGGGGUUGGAAAGUUUCGGCGGUUGGGGAUGGACUCGCGGCUUAUCAGCUUGUUGGUGGGGUAGUGGCUUACCAAGGCUUUGACGGGUAGCCGGCCUGAGAGGGUGACCGGCCACAUUGGGACUGAGAUACGGCCCAGACUCCUACGGGAGGCAGCAGUGGGGAAUAUUGCACAAUGGGCGGAAGCCUGAUGCAGCAACGCCGCGUGGGGGAUGACGGCCUUCGGGUUGUAAACCGCUUUCGCCUGGGACGAAGCGUGAGUGACGGUAAUGGGGAAAGAAGCACCGGCUAACUACGUG